GACGAACGCUGGCGGCGUGCUUAACACAUGCAAGUCGAACGGGCCCGCCCCUGUUUUUGGGGGUGGGUUGAGUGGCGAACGGGUGAGUAUCACGUGAGUAACCUGCCCCCUGCUCCUGGAUAACUGCUUGAAAGGGCGGCUAAUACGGGGUGUGCCGGCUGGUCCGCAUGGGCCUGGUCGGGAUAGUUUCAUCUUCGGGUGUUUCGGUGGGGGAUGGGCUCGCGGCCUAUCAGCUUGUUGGUGGGGUGAUGGCCCACCAAGGCGGUGACGGGUAGCCGGCCUGAGAGGGUGGGCGGCCACACUGGGACUGAGACACGGCCCAGACUCCUGCGGGAGGCAGCAGUGGGGGGUAUUGCACAAUGGGCGGAAACCUGAUGCAGCGACGUCGCGUGAGGGAUGGAGGCCUUCGGGUUGUGAACCUCUUUCUCCGGUGGUGAAGGCCCUGUCCGUUGCGGCGGGGUUGACGGUAGCCGGGUAUGAAGCGCCGGCUAACUACGUG
This 499-nucleotide ribosomal RNA is filed under the name uncultured bacterium. RNAcentral describes it as "partial 16S ribosomal RNA". It matches the Rfam family "Bacterial small subunit ribosomal RNA", at positions 28 to 507 of the family's 1533-position model. The record is from RNAcentral.